GGACUCGCUCAGCAGUACAUCUACUGAAACUGCUGUGAUACACAGAUUAGCAUGGCCCCUAUGCAGGGAUGACACACACUUUUGUGAAGUGUCCCAUAUUUUU
Non-coding RNA from Myotis davidii, 103 nucleotides. The record is from Rfam. Lineage: Eukaryota; Metazoa; Chordata; Mammalia; Chiroptera; Vespertilionidae.